Ornithorhynchus anatinus (platypus) is the source of this 592-nucleotide non-coding RNA. NCBI's taxonomy places the organism in Eukaryota, Metazoa, Chordata, Mammalia, Monotremata, Ornithorhynchidae. The record is from the annotation of a RefSeq genome assembly.
GAGAAGAGCCCCAGCCCUUCUGUCUGUGCUAAACCAAUUUGACCCCCAGAACUGUGCCCACAGCCCUCAGCAUGCAGUCUGCCCUCACGCUGGUUUCCAUCCUGACCCUGCUUCAAGGUGUCCAGGGUGAUGUCCAGCUGGUGGAGUCCGGUGGAGACCUGAGACAGCCCGGGGGGUCUCUGCGCCUCUCCUGUAAAGCCUCUGGAUUCUCCUUCAGUAGCAAUUACUGGAUGAGCUGGGUCCGCCAGGCUCCAGGGAAGGGGCUCGAGUGGGUCGCAGGUAUAUGGACUAACAGUGGCAGCACAUACUAUGCAGACUCUGUGAAAGGCCGAUUCACCAUCUCCAAGGACAACGCCAAUAGCCUGGUGAAUCUGCAGAUGAACAGCCUGAAAACCGAGGACAUGGCCCUUUAUUACUGUGCGAGACACAGUGAGAGAAACCACAUCCUGAGCCUGUCAGAAACCCAGGGAGGAUUCCUGGGCUGCAGCUGUCUGGAGGAGCAGAGCAGCAGAGACCACAGACAACAGCCCCAGCCUGGAUUUCCCAUCUUCCCUCUCAAUGAUUACUAAAACCUCCUGAUAUUGCACGUUCU